AUAUAUAUAUAUGUAUGUAUGUAUGUAUAUAUAUGCACAUACACACAGGCACGCACAUAUCCAUGUAUAUAUAUUUAUAUAUAUACAUACAUACAUGCAUACUCAUGUAUAUGUGUGUCUAUAAAAAAAUGUUGUUAAUAUUACCGUUUGUAUUAAUUAAGAUGCUUGAUUAGCAGACUCUGUAAAUUGUUCCAGAGUUUACUUUGGCCUUCGUCCUUCCAAGGGAGACAAAUAUUUUAGUUUCCCCUAUCCUAACACAAAGAUCCACUUCACAGCACUGUCCAGAAACAUGUCUGGCCUCGUGCCGGUGUUAGAAGACAGUGGACAACAGAAUCACCUGCGGAGGAAUGGACAGAGUACCUCACAGGAUUCUGUUACACAUCUCCUUACAUGAUCUGAGUUCAUAUCCUGCUGGGGUCGACUUCAAUUUUCAUUCUUCUUCUUCUUCUUCUUUGGAUCUUAUCUCGUUGUUUAAACACUUCUCCUCAAUUCUGUGGUCCUGCACCUGUCUAUCUUCUGACUUUACUUGUUGGUCUGUGACCAUGCUGGAGCACUGCUUUGGCAGGUUCGCUCAAACAAGUCAACGCCAGUAUUUUUUUUUUUAAAGCCUGGUUCUUAUUGUGUUGGUCUCUUUUGCUGAGCCACCAAGUUACAUAGACAUAAACAAACCAACACCGAUCGGCAAGCAUUGGUGGGUAACAAAUGCAGACAGUCCUUACACGCAUUUAUAUACAUACACAACAGGCUUCCACACAGUUUCCAUCUACCAAUUCAUUUGCAAGGCAAGCUUCUCAACCACACCAUCAAAGGUAUUAAGGUGAACUCACAGAAUGAAAAGAAAAUCAGAGAAAAUGCUUUAUGGAAUUUCUUCCAAACCUUUACAUUCUGAGUUCAAAUCUUGCCACGGUCAACUUUACCUUUCAUCCCUCCUGGGCUGGUGAAACAAAAUACCAGUCAAGACUUGAGGUUGAUGUCUUCGGCUAACCCCAUCACCACCACCACCAUCAAAAUUGCUGGCCUUGUGCCUGAAUCAGAAACCAUUGUUAUUGUGAAAGAACAGUGGGUUGGCAGAAUUGGUAGAUCAUCAAGCAAAAUUCCCUGUGGCAUUUAUUCCUGUUCUUUACAUUCUGGGUUCAACUCCUGCCAAGGUCAUCUUUCAGUUUUUAUCCUUUCAGGGGUCAAUAAAAUUAAGUAUCAGUCAAAGUUGCCGGGGUUGAUGACAUAUAAUCCCCAGCCCUCAGACAGAAUUGCUGGCUUUGUGCCUAAAUUGGAAAUGUUUCUUCUUCCUCCAUUGAACCAGCAGAAUCAUUAGGGGGUCAGUAAAAAUGUCUGAUGCCAGUUCUUCACGUUCUGAGUUCAAAUCCUGCUGAGAUCAACUUUGCCUUUCAUCCCUCCAAGAUCGAUAAAAUUGAUUACCGGUCAAUUAGUGUGGUUGAUGUAAUUGACUAAUUAACCCCACCACCACCACCAUCCCCCAAAAAUGAAAAUUUAGGCCUUGUGCUUGUAUAAGAAACUAUCUCGGCUUUGCCUUUCAUUCCUCCAGGGUCAAUAAAAUAAAAUACCAGUCAUGUGCUGGGGUCAGUGAUAUUGAUUAACCCGUUCUAUUCCAUGUAAGACUUAGAAAAUAUAUUCAAAAUAUAUUUUACACUGUGUAAAGAUUAUUUGACCACCACCACCAUCAUCAUUUAGCAUCUGCUUUUCAUGCUGACAUGAGUUGGACAGUUUGACAGGGACUGGCAAGGCUGGAUGGCUGUACCAGGCUCCAGUUGUCUGAUUCAGCAUGGUUUCUGUUACUGGAAGCCCUUCCUAAUGUGAACCACUCUACAGAGUGCACUGGGCGCUUUUUAUGUGAUUCUGGCACAGGUGCCUUUCAUGUGUGCCAGCUUGGGUGCUUUUUACAUGGUGCCAGUAAAGGCCCUUUUAUAUGUGGCACCAGUAUGGCUGAUAAAGAAUUCCAUUUGCUGGACAGCGGGGACAAAUAUGUUUAUUAUAUUAAUUGCCAACAGUCCACAGUUUCACCCCGGGUGGGCUGUACAUGACUCUGAAGGAGACUACAUUGUUUGCAGCUUAUAUAAAGGGUUCUUGUCUGUCAACAUGGUAAAUUUUCCAUCUGACUAUUCUUAUAAAAUGCUCUCUCAUCAUCAUCUAAAAUCUGCUUUCCAUUCUGGCAUAGGUCAGGAGAUGGCAAAUCAGAAGACUACGCCAACCCCUACUGUCUGUUGUCACAUAGUUUCUAUGGCUGGAGGCUCUUCUUAACACAAACCACUUUACAUAGUGUACAGGAUGGUUUUUUUUUUUUUUUUUUUAAAUAGCAUGGAGUAACUAUUAUCUGUGGUAUAAGCUUGUUUCUCAUGGGAUUGAACCUAAAACAACAUGGUUGGGAAAUAAAAUUUCUUAACCACACUAAGAGACAUAAUGAAUAAUCAUCAUCGUUUAAUGUCUGCCUUCCAUGCUGGAUGGUUUGACCGGAACUGGCCAGGCAGGAGCCUGCACCAGACUUCUGUGUGUAUUUUGGCAGGGGUCUUUACGGCUGGACACCCUUCCUAACACCAUCCACCCAGCAGAGUUUGUAGUAAAAUUAUAUUUUACAUAAUGGAAGCAUUGUCUGACAUGGAACUUAAUAUGGGCAGAAAAUUCACUGAGAAGUUUAUUAGAAGAGUGAGAUGGGAAAUUUACACCUUAACCCUAUAGCAUUUGAUCUGGCCAUAUUUGGCCCAAAUAUGUUCUGACCAGUCAGAUCUGGUCCCUCACACCUCCCCUACAAUGUCAUUCUAAAAAUAUACAAUCAUCGUCAUUCAAAUGUCUGCUUUCCAUGCUGGCAUGGGUUGGACAAUUUGACAGGCGCUGCCAAGCCAAAGAGCUGCACUUGGUUCCAGUCUUCUGUUUUGGCAAUUUUUCUACAACUGGAUACCCUUUCUGUUGCCAACCUCUUUACAGAGGGCACUGGGUGUCUUUUAUGUGUCACCAGCAUGUUAUUGAAAUCCUGAAAGUAUGAGAUAAUGCCUGAUUAAUUCAAAACAAUGUAAAUGAAUAAAUAAGCUUUACAUUUGACAAAGAAUGCUAAAGGAUUAACGACGAUUUUCUGUCACAGUUUCUGCCUUUUUUAAUUAGUUUUCAAAGAUAUCACCAUCCCCAUCUCCAACCCAUACAUAUUCUUAUGUCAACUGCAAGCAAGUUUUUCUGGCCCACAAUCACUAAUAGCCUAGCCUGGGUAUGAAACUCUAAGUAGACUGUAAACUUUUGAUGUAAUUAAACAUGUCCGUCAGCUCUAUCCAGCACAUUGAGUUCUACUAUUGAUAACUUUUACACAAUGUAAAAUAUAUUUUGAAUAUAUUUUACAACUCUUACACAUCAACAGAUAUAUAUGUGUACUCGUAUGCAUGAUAUAUAUAAUAUAUAUAUAUAUAUAUAUAUGAUGGCCGUCCACUUGUGACUGAGGAAGACCAUUGCUGACCUUCAGGAACAUUGUCCACUCUAGGACUAACUUAUAUUUUGCAUUUGCGGAUCCGUUGGUGGCUAAUGAGCCCUGCUCUUGACAAGCAUACAUGAUUGUAAACAUUGCAGACCAAGCUUUCCCCAUUCACUACACCAACUGUGUGCUUUUGAGCAGCAUGCUUCAAUUCUCCAUGCAGAAGAUGUGCUCUCUCAAAGGAGUCGACCCCCUCCUUAACCUGCUUCCUCCAUCUGUGGCGAUGACAGGAAUUGCUCCCCCAGUAGGUCUCCUGCAUAUCACAGGCAUUUAAUCAGCACAUGACAUAAUCGUUAAAUUGCAGCCUUGGUCUCUGCCGGGGUCUCUUUCCAUUAAGAAGUUCCCCAUAUAACAUCUGUUUAGGGAUCCUGCUAUCUUUUCAAUAAGUGUAUAAUCGAACAUGCUAAAUUUGCUUGUUUCUACAAAAUACACUUUGAAAAUAGGGGUGCAUCUUAUACGCUAGCAAAUAGGGUAGUUUUGAAAAUAAUAAAGAAUUUAGUGAGAUAAGUUUGCCAUCAUUUAAACUGGUGUUUAGAAAAUGAGUUGACAUGAAAUUUUGGUGGAAGGUUUUUAGGUCACUUCAAAACAAGAAGUCUUAGAACCCAGGGGAGGUCUCAGGUGUUGGAAUCGAAGGACCUUCAGAUGAAAAAAAUAAGGAAGAGGCAGGUGUCUUAUAUUUAUCAUUAAUUAAUUAAAGAAUGAAACACGUGGGAGAGGAAGGGGUACUUUACAUGCGUUGAAGCAUCUUCUAACUUAAGGACAAGAAUAUAGAGUUGGGUACUCUGUUUGUAUUUUGGGGAUCUUUUGGCUGAUUCUGAUGAUGAAAAAUAAACAAGGAGGGGGUGGUACCUUGCAUGGGUUUUCAGAAUCUUUUUGCACUUGGGUAACUGGGUAACUCAACUUUGGCGUUUAAAAACAAUUUUAAUAAAGAAUUUUUUUUUUUGUUUUGAAAAAUGUACCAUCACCACCACUGUUCCAAAAAUCCACUUCUGGUACUACAAAAGCAUGCGUCUACCAGUCUGUUUGUCCUGAUGUUACCUGUAAUUAUGAAUUUUACCUGUGGGUUGUUUAUAACUGGGUUAUUGUUUUUUUUUGUUUUUUUGUUUUUUUCUGGUGAAGACAAACAAAAACACUCAUUCAAACAAAUGUAUUUAUUUAAAGCUAUGAAGUUUUUGUGCUGCUAUUUAAUUAUAUAUAUAUAUAUUUUUUUGUUUGUUUUUGAUAAGUAUGAACACAUACAUACUCAUACACACACACAGUGGAGGCACAUGGCCUAGUGGUUAGAGCAGCGGACUCGCGGUCGAGGGAUCGCGGGUUCAAAUCCCAGACCAGGCGAUGUGUGUGUUUAUGAGCGAAAACACCUAACCUCCACGCGGCUCCGGGAGGAAGUAAUGGCGAAACUUCUGCUGACUCUUUCGUCACAACUCUCUCUCACUCUUUCCUCCUGCAUCUUGCAGCUUACCUGCGACGGACCGGCGUCCCGUCCAGGUGGGGAACCUAUACGCCAAGAAACCGGACCUUAUGAGCCAGGCAUGGCUCAAGAAGGAACAAACAUACACACACACACUACAUAUAUUUAAACUAGGAAUUAUUUUCAUGAUUUAUAAAAAUCAUUUUAGUGGAACAAGCAGGAGCACAAACACACAUAAUCUUUCUGUCUCAUAUUUAUAUAUUUAAUAUAUUUAUGUAAAUUAUGGUAUUUUCUAUUUAUUUAAAUUAUGUAUUUAUUUAAAUAAUAUAUUUAUUUGAAAUAUAUUUUUAUUUAAAAUGUAUUUAAAUUAUCUAUUCAUCUUAAUUAAAUAUUCAUUUAAAUUAUUUAUUUCAAUUAUAUAUUUAUUCAAAAUGUAUUAAAUUAUAUUUUUAUUUUAAAUAUAAUUCAAAUGUAUUUAAAUCAAGUAUUUAAAAUGUAUUUAACUAAAUAAUGUAUUUAUUUGAAUUAUAUAUUUAUUUCAACUAAAUUUAUUUAAAUUAUAUCUUUUAAGGCUGUGCCCCAGCAUGGCCCAGUCCAAUGAAUGAAAAAACUAAAAGAUGUAAGAUUUAUUUAAAAUGUAUUUAUUUAAAUUAUUAUAUAUUUAUUUUGACAUUUUCACAGAAUUUUUUUUUUCUAUUUUAUGUCGUUUUGUGACAAAAUGUACCAACAUAUACAAAACAUUUAAUCAAAGUGAGUUUUUUUCACCAAAAUUUUUGAAAAAGUUUUUUGGUGGAAGGAUCAGAGGACACACAGACAGAAAAAAUCUUUCUGACCAUUUGGAUCAAACCAAAUUCUAUUUCAGAAAGAUUUCCGUUUCAAUAUUCUCAAUGUCACUUUUUUUUUUUCCUUCUGUUGUUUUGGCCAUGCAUAAGUCUACAGAUUACUGUUGCUCCAGCAUGAGCUUAGCCUUGAUGAAUAAAACAAACAGAAAAGACACACACACACACACACAUUUAUUUAUUUAUUCAUCUAUUUGACUGUCAAAUUUUUUUUGGUGAAUUUACCAAAAUAUUUCAAUUUUUACCAAAAAUUUCCAUUUUACUCACCCGCACACCCCCUUGCCACCCCCACCCCCAUCAUGAUCACCACUACUCGUGUGGGUGGAGGGGUGGGUGUUUUUUUUAUUGAACUGAUUGAUCUGAUAUUGUUCUAUGGUUAUACUAUCUAAUUAAUUCAAAUCGGUUAAAAUUUAAUUAACCAAAUACUUUGAAUUUGUUUGGAUUUUUUUUCUAAAAAACAAAAAUAAGCUGUUUUCCACUCUCACCCUACCCCCAUCCCUGAUCCACCCCUGCACCCUGUUCCAUGUUUCUGUUGUUGUUAUUAUUAUUAUUAUUAUUAUUAUUAUUAUUAAGGUGGUGAGCUGGCAGAAAUGUUAGCAUGGUGGGCGAAAUGCUUAGCGGCAUUUCCUCUGCCUUCACGUUCUGAGUUCAAAUUCCACUGAGGUCAACUUUGCCUUUCAUCCUUUCGGGGUCGAUAAAUUAAGUACCAGUGAAACUCUGGGGUUGGUGUAAUCAGCUAGACCCCUCCCCCAAAAUUUCAGGCCUUGUGCCUAUCGUAGAAAGAAUUGUUGUUGAUGUUUUGUUAUUGUUAUUAUCUCUUGUCUUUCAAAAUGAAUUGACUCCACACACAAGUGACAAGCAUGGACUUCAGCACCAAACACAUAUGUAAAUGCAUGUAUGUGUGUGUAUAUAUAUAUAUGUAUAUAUAUAUAUAUGUAUAUAUAUAUAUAUAUAUAUGUAUAUAUAUAUGUAUAUAUAUAUGUAUAUCAUCAUCAUCAUCGUUUAACGUCUGUUCUCCAUGCUAGCAUGGGUUGGACGGUUCGACCGGGGAUCUGGGAAGCCAGAAGGCUGCACCAGGCCCAGUCUGAUCUGGCAAUGUUUCUACAGCUGGAUGCCCUUCCUAACGCCAACCACUCCGUGAGUGUAGUGGGUGCUUUUUACGUGCCACCCGCACAUAUAUGUAUAUAUAUAUAUAUUUAUAUAUAUAUAUAUAUAUGUAUGUAUAUAUAUAUAUGUAUAUAUAUAUAUACGCGCGUGUAUGUAGUUGCACAUUCGUGUGUUUCCUUGCUAAAACCAGUAUUUUGUGGAACAGGGUCAACGUUAACUGAAACCUCAAUUACCCCACCCCCUUGCUCCCUCACCCCUCACCCAAUCACUUGAUCUAAUGGCGUGAAAGAAAAUAAAAAAUAAAAUGAUAAAAAAAAAACACUAGAAGCUUGUGUUUUGUUCGGAAUGAAUCUGGUGCAAAUAUUUCAAUAUUUGAAUUUAUAAUUUAUAUUUUACAUUUGUUAAAGAAUAAAAAAAAAAC
This 7247-nucleotide long non-coding RNA is filed under the name Octopus vulgaris (common octopus). The record is from RNAcentral. Lineage: Eukaryota; Metazoa; Mollusca; Cephalopoda; Octopoda; Octopodidae.